Aegilops tauschii subsp. strangulata is the source of this 2110-nucleotide non-coding RNA. The record is from RefSeq and is a predicted model, not a curated record. Lineage: Eukaryota; Viridiplantae; Streptophyta; Magnoliopsida; Poales; Poaceae.
GAGUUUCAGUCGUAGCUGCUCACCAAAAGCGAUGCUCCGGAAUAAUUGAGUCGUCCUUCUGUUUGUUUGUUUGUUUGUUUUUGCUUCGUCAACAUUUGCUCUCUGCCGCAGCCCGCUUGUGUUCAAUUUCUCCACUUAAUUACACGCACUCUCCCUCUCCACCGGCCUUUUCUUCUCUUCCUCUCGUCUCAGGGGAGACUCCGGGAGAGAGCGAGAGCGUGGGAAGGGGCGACGGGGGAGCUGCUCGUGCUCGACCGGCAUGGCGAAGGAGGGCGUGGAGGAAGCCCUCCUGCUCGCGAGCCGCGCGACGGAUGGCGGCCGCGACGAGGGCCUCGGGCUGGGGGUGCGCGACGAGGUGAAGAAGCAGCUGUGGCUGGCCGGGCCGCUCAUCGCCGGCGCGCUGCUGCAGAACCUCAUCCAGAUGAUCUCCGUCAUGUACGUCGGCCACCUCGGCGAGCUCGCCCUCGCCGGCGCCUCCAUGGCCAGCUCCUUCGCCACCGUCACCGGCUUCAGCCUCCUGCUUGGAAUGGCGAGUGCACUGGACACCCUGUGCGGCCAAGCAUACGGAGCCAGGCAAUACCACCUCCUCGGCGUCUACAAGCAGCGGGCGAUGGUGAUCCUCACCCUGGUCAGCAUCCCGCUGGCCGUCGUGUGGUUCUACACCGGCGAGAUCCUGCUCCUGUUCGGGCAGGACCCCGACAUCGCCGCGGAGGCCGGCACGUACGCCCGGUGGAUGAUCCCGGCGAUAUUCGCCUACGGGCUGCUGCAGUGCCACGUCCGGUUCCUGCAGACGCAGAACAUCGUGUUCCCCGUGAUGGCCAGCGCCGGCGCCGCCGCGGCGUUCCACCUCCUCGUCUGCUGGCUGCUCGUGUACGUCGCCGGGAUGGGCAGCAAGGGCGCCGCGCUCAGCAACGCCAUCUCCUACUGGGUCUACGUGAUCGUGCUGGCGGUGUACGUGCGGGUGUCGGGAUCCUGCAAGGAGACGUGGACGGGGUUCUCCACGGAGGCGUUCCGCGACGUGCUCAGCUUCUUCCGGCUCGCCGUCCCGUCCGCCCUCAUGGUCUGCUUGGAGAUGUGGUCGUUUGAGCUCAUAGUGCUCCUGUCAGGCCUUCUUCCCAAUCCAAAGCUGGAGACUUCGGUGCUGUCCAUCAGGUGCUUAAUGGCAGACCCAAAUUACCACAUUUUCCCUGUUUUUUUCCGGCUGAAGAAAAACAUGUGCAUUGUUUGUUCUUGGCAGCCUCAACACCGCUGCCUUCGUAUGGAUGAUCCCCUUUGGCCUCGGCUCGGCCAUAAGCACCCGUGUCUCAAACGAGCUCGGAGCGGGGCGGCCCGACGCUGCCCGCCUCGCGGUGCGUGUCGUCGUCUUCUUGGCCAUGGCGGAAGGACUGGUCAUGGGGUUGGUGCUGAUCUGCAUCAGAUACGUCUGGGGGCAUGCCUACAGCGACGUGGAGGAGGUUGUGACUUACGUUGCCUGGAUGAUGCUCAUCAUCUCGGUCUCCAACUUCUUCGACGGAAUUCAGUGCGUCCUUUCAGGGACUUUGGCUGGGCAUCAUCUGUGGCCUGAUGGUGCAAGUCCUGCUGCUCAUGGCCAUCACGAUAUGCACAGACUGGGAUAAAGAGGCGGAUAAGGCAAAGGACAGGGUAUUCAGUUCUUCUCUCCCAACAGAUUUCGCAACUGAAGACAGUGCAAUCUAGAGUUCUAGACUACUAAGCAAACAAGCUAGGAAAGGAAGAUGACGCAAUUCCAUCCAGGCUAGCAAACUAAACAAACUAGGCUUUAUGUGCUAUUCCAUGCAGCCUUCAUAUCGAGGAUCACUAUAUAAGAAGUAGUGUUCUUCACCUGAAGUUUGUGAACGUUUGUUCAUGUCUACAGCUUGGUGAAGGACAAGAAGAAAAACAUGGGGGAGUGGUCUCAUGAUGAAACUGCCUCCAGCUACUACUACUAUUGCGACCCCAGCCAGAACCAAACCCACCACAGAAUUUAACAUAUUGUAUCAUUUGUAUGGCACUGAGCAGUAGAACUAAUAAUUGAAAAACAUUCAGGAUAAGUUACCAUCAAGUCAGGCCCACCAUUGUGCGCUAUAAAUUAAUGGUUUGCAGUUCCAAGAAA